Molecule: ribosomal RNA, 65 nt
Filed under: Branchipodopsis affinis
Lineage: Eukaryota; Metazoa; Arthropoda; Branchiopoda; Anostraca; Branchipodidae
Description: partial 28S ribosomal RNA
Source: RNAcentral
UUAAUCACUGACCUCAGCUCAGGUGAGGCGACCCGCUUGACUUAAGCAUAUUAGUCAGCGGAGGA